GGGACAAACAGUAAGGAUAAAGAGUGCCAAGAAGACUGCCCAAUUAGAAAGCAACACCACAACGUGCACAUACGACGGUUGCAAAAGACAAUGCCAGGCUCAGCUGGGUAACGAAUACAUCGAUGUGACUGGCCACUGCGAGUACGCGGCGUGCAAGUGCUUCUUCAAAGAACCGUGCAAGCCGGUGAAAUGCCAACUGCGUUGCGAGGAAGAAGCGAGAAGGAGGCGUGCGCCAAACGCAAACGGGACGUGCCAACGAACAACUUGCGUUUGUGUGAUUGAAGAUGAUUGUAUACAGUCGGAGUGCCACAGAAAAUGCAUAGAGAAAUACCCAGGAAGGCCCGGCAAAUCCGUAGGAAAGUGCGUCGAUGGGGAGUGUUCCUGCAGGCAUGUACCAUAAAUCAAGGACAUGUAGGAACCUCCUUGGGGAGGUGCACGGUGCUUUAUUACGGCUCUGGUGGUGUUUCCAAUACAAUAAUAAUGCUGGCGGAAAUGCUAAAAAUAAAGUAUA
Long non-coding RNA from Rhipicephalus sanguineus (brown dog tick), 511 nucleotides. RefSeq lists it as uncharacterized. Lineage: Eukaryota; Metazoa; Arthropoda; Arachnida; Ixodida; Ixodidae. The record is from RefSeq and is a predicted model, not a curated record. The transcript is spliced from 4 exons.